AGCUCCAAUAGCGUAUAUUAAAGUUGUUGCAGUUAAAAAGCUCGUAGUUGGAUUUGGGACGGGGGUCGCGCGGUCGGCCGCAAGGUCUGCUACUGUGCGGCCUCGUCAUUUACACUCUCGGAGACCCGUCGUGCACUUCGCUGUGCGCGGCGCGGGACUCGGGACGUUUACUUUGAAAAAAUUAGAGUGUUCAAAGCAGGCUUCAUCAAGCCCGGAUACAUGAGCAUGGAAUAAUGGAAUAGGACCGCGGUUCUAUUUUGUUGGUUAUUGGAUGAAGUAAUGAUUAACAGAAACAGUUGGGGCAUCAGUACUUAAUAGUCAGAGGUGAAAUUCUUAGAUUUAUUAAAGACUAACUAAUGCGAAAGCAUUUGCCAAGGAUGUUUUCAUUAAUCAAGAACGA
This 400-nucleotide ribosomal RNA is filed under the name phytoplankton environmental sample. RNAcentral describes it as "partial small subunit ribosomal RNA". It matches the Rfam family "Eukaryotic small subunit ribosomal RNA", at positions 587 to 986 of the family's 1831-position model. The record is from RNAcentral.